Molecule: transfer RNA, 77 nt
Filed under: Candidatus Sumerlaeota bacterium
Lineage: Bacteria; Candidatus Sumerlaeota
Description: tRNA-His
Rfam family: tRNA
About the family: Transfer RNA (tRNA) molecules are approximately 80 nucleotides in length. Their secondary structure includes four short double-helical elements and three loops (D, anti-codon, and T loops).
Source: RNAcentral
GUGGCUGUAGUUCAAUCGGUUAGAGCACCAGAUUGUGGAUCUGGAUGUUGUGGGUUCGAGCCCCAUCAGCCACCCCA